RNAcentral lists this transfer RNA (76 nucleotides) under Actinotalea bogoriensis 69B4 = DSM 16987. RNAcentral describes it as "Cellulomonas bogoriensis 69B4 = DSM 16987 tRNA-Arg". It matches the Rfam family "tRNA". Rfam says of the family: Transfer RNA (tRNA) molecules are approximately 80 nucleotides in length. Lineage: Bacteria; Bacillati; Actinomycetota; Actinomycetes; Micrococcales; Cellulomonadaceae. The record is from RNAcentral.
GCCCCCGUAGCUCAGUGGAUAGAGCGUCGGACUUCUAAUCCGUUGGUCGCAGGUUCGAAUCCUGCCGGGGGCGCCG